GCUGGAGACCAGGCUAUUUCUCAGAGAACACUCAUCCUAAGAAAACCAAGACAGAAAUGCCCUUAAGAAACUGCCUUUGGUCACCAUCAAAAGGAGAAUACUCAGAUCAAAAGGAGGUUCUAAGAGAAACUCUAUCUGAUCCUCAGAAGAAAUCUGGAUUACUUCUGGCCUCGGGAAGUCCUACCAAGUUUCUAGAAGGAGGUGCAGUGAAUCAGGUUUUCAAUCAACGGACCUACGCUGUAUUUGAAAUGAUCAGUAAGGCUGAAUGAAGCUAACUAUGCAACUACAAAAAGUAAGAGUUUUCUUUUCUUUUUUUAAAAAAAGUUCUCUGUAUUGCUGUUGACUACCAUAAUAAAGUAUUGAGAUGGUUUAAAAAUGAAUGAAA
This 385-nucleotide long non-coding RNA is filed under the name Homo sapiens (human). Its description in RNAcentral is "HSALNT0110060". Lineage: Eukaryota; Metazoa; Chordata; Mammalia; Primates; Hominidae. The record is from RNAcentral.